RNAcentral lists this transfer RNA (76 nucleotides) under Chloroflexota bacterium. Its description in RNAcentral is "Chloroflexi bacterium (anaerobic digester metagenome) tRNA-Arg". It matches the Rfam family "tRNA". From Rfam's summary of the family: Transfer RNA (tRNA) molecules are approximately 80 nucleotides in length. Their secondary structure includes four short double-helical elements and three loops (D, anti-codon, and T loops). Lineage: Bacteria; Bacillati; Chloroflexota. RNAcentral also lists the same sequence under 2 other names. The record is from RNAcentral.
GCGCCAGUAGCUCAGCGGAGAGAGCGUUGGUCUACGAAACCAAAGGCCGCAGGUUCGAAUCCUGCCUGGCGCACCA